Molecule: long non-coding RNA, 1688 nt
Filed under: Nicotiana tabacum (common tobacco)
Lineage: Eukaryota; Viridiplantae; Streptophyta; Magnoliopsida; Solanales; Solanaceae
Description: long non-coding RNA (NTAB_LNC003296)
Source: RNAcentral
AAUGCAAAGUUUUAAUAGUAAAGGGCAAAUGAUGCAAUAAGUUCUGAAGAGUUUUAUACCAUACAACACAUCAAAGGGAUAAAAAUGUAAAUCGAGCAUAAAACCUUAUGUUCGCAACAUAAAGCUGUACAUUACUAAUUUGACAACUCCUAAUGGCACAUCACAUUAACCAAAUGGACCAUAAGUUAACAACGAACUCUUUAGCUCUAAAGAAAUUUCAUUCAACUACUUUUUUAGCAAAUAAAAGCAGUGAUGUUUACCAAAUAACCCUCAUUCCCUUCAGAUCUUCAAUUCCUUCUUAGUAAGAAAAAGAUUAGUUAUUCUAAUGUUAAAGAUAGGCAAGUGACGAUACAUAUUAUAAUUCUUAAAGAUCUAUGCUAAAACUCAACUAAGGAAGUAACUCUUCAAUGCAAAAGGUUUUGAAAUGCUAUUGAAACUCUUUAACAAACACAGCGAAGAAGGCGUAACAUGCUGAAAUUAAGCAACAGAAUACUUCAAAUACUAAGACAUAUGAUUGUUACAGUGCUAUAGCAAUGUGAGGUCCAAUCAAAUUUAUGCUCACUCAAGCAUUAGUGUAACUUAAUAGAAGAAGUUGAAAAAUGACAUUCCAAAUAAAAUAAGCCAACUGAAAAGGAUCUAGUAAACCUCCAACAACGGUUACUAAUUUUCAUUCAACAGGUUCAUAACUUCAAAAUAGGUCAUGUGAAAUUAAACAAAACUACAGGGAUUCCAUGUGUACUUAAUUGAGAGCAUGAAACAAGUGAUUCACAUAAACAUCCCAUUUUUGAGUUACUUAAUUGUUUCAGUCAAAUGGAGGCUAAAUACACGUUUGGUAAACAAAAGAAUCAGCACUAGUCAUACUUGAACAAAUAAGUGGAAAAGAAAACUAAAUAGGAAUCCAACAAUUUUCAUUCAUAAUUGAAAUCAUAAUACGGAAAGGGUUCGAGCUAACCUGAUAGAACAAAUAAAAGCUAGAAUGAACCGACUAAGAAAAUAGAAGCAAACUCGCAAGAAAGCUCAGCAAUUCCAGGAAAAAGCAGCAAAAUCAGUGGAAAUCAAACGGCAAAUCCACAAGUUUUAGAACCAGAAAUCACCUCAAUCCAACUUCAUUCUUAAGAACCCAGAAUCAAACAAAAUGCUGAAAAAUAACGUUUUUUUUGUGCUUUCCUGAUUUCUUUUGAAAUGAAACUCGAACGAGGAAAUAAACUCAAACCAUUUUUUUGUUUUCAAACAAAGGGUGUCGACUCAGAGAAUUGAAAGUCUCAGAAGAAGAAAAACUUCGUAAUCCUAGAAAUUUACUACUAAAUUUUUCUGAAGAUCUCAUCCCAAUUUUUUCUAGCACAUAAGACUUACCUCAUAUAUAUAGCCUUCAAAAACUUUCAAAAAUCUGCCCAAAUCCUAAAAAAUCUUCAGGUUUUUGAACAAUUUUGGGACAAAUAGAGGGCGUGGAUUGAUUCACAUCUAUCCAUUGCUCCCAUUCAUCCAACAAUUGUCCUGUUGGUACAAAAAUCCGUGAUUUUGAGGGAAUAUUCGUACUCCUCUCUAACAAAUCCAUUGGGAAAUAGAGAUGACGUGGAGAGGAGGGGACCAAUAAGUGAACUUGGGUGAAACUUAGGCGAGUUGAGGUGAGUUCGAAGGUGAGGAAGAUGAAGGAAUAGUGCCCAGCGCCAUUUUCUGAUAUUCUCUAG